RNAcentral lists this ribosomal RNA (465 nucleotides) under uncultured bacterium. RNAcentral describes it as "partial 16S ribosomal RNA". It matches the Rfam family "Bacterial small subunit ribosomal RNA", at positions 29 to 507 of the family's 1533-position model. The record is from RNAcentral.
AUGAACGCUGGCGGCGUGCUUCACACAUGCAAGUCGCACGAUGAAGCCCAGCUUGCUGGGUGGAUUAGUGGCGAACGGGUGAGUAACACGUGAGUAACCUGCCCUUAACUCUGGGAUAAGCCUGGGAAACUGGGUCUAAUACCGGAUAGGAGCGUCCACCGCAUGGUGGGUGUUGGAAAGAUUUAUCGGUUUUGGAUGGACUCGCGGCCUAUCAGCUUGUUGGUGAGGUAAUGGCUCACCAAGGCGACGACGGGUAGCCGGCCUGAGAGGGUGACCGGCCACACUGGGACUGAGACACGGCCCAGACUCCUACGGGAGGCAGCAGUGGGGAAUAUUGCACAAUGGGCGCAAGCCUGAUGCAGCGACGCCGCGUGAGGGAUGACGGCCUUCGGGUUGUAAACCUCUUUCAGUAGGGAAGAAGCGAAAGUGACGGUACCUGCAGAAGAAGCACCGGCUAACUACGUG